This is a long non-coding RNA of Myotis myotis, 413 nucleotides long. RefSeq lists it as uncharacterized. NCBI's taxonomy places the organism in Eukaryota, Metazoa, Chordata, Mammalia, Chiroptera, Vespertilionidae. The transcript is spliced from 3 exons. The record is from RefSeq and is a predicted model, not a curated record.
AUUUCUGCUCGGGGCCCAACUCCUCUGCUCCUGCGUGAGUUACUAGUUGAGCCCCAGCGAGCUGGAAUAAAGCCUCUUGCGGUUUGCAUCAAGAGACGUCUCCUGCGGUUGAUUGGGGUCGCCGUCGAUCUGUGGGAAAGAAAAGAAUCCAGGCUAGGCCAGUAACCAGGAGCGUCACCGCCUGGCAUGCUCAGCAGGAUGGCCGAGUAAUGCCUGUUAAGUUCGUGACGCAGAAAAAGAGAAUCGAGCCUGUCAGAAAAGGGAAAAGAAAAGGUUUUAAUCCAUGUUCUUGGGCGAGCCCCACGAGCCCGAGACAGGGCCAGUGAGUUUGAGCCAGGGGUGGGCAAACUUUUUGACUCGAGGGCCACAAUGCGUUCUUAAACUGGACCGGAGGGCCAGAACAAAAGCAUGGA